Molecule: ribosomal RNA, 2757 nt
Filed under: Triticum aestivum (bread wheat)
Lineage: Eukaryota; Viridiplantae; Streptophyta; Magnoliopsida; Poales; Poaceae
Description: partial small subunit ribosomal RNA
Source: RNAcentral
AUGCCGCUCCGGUUGGAUAUCAAGAGGAAGCUCGCGCAGAGGUCGGAGAGGGUCAAGUCCGCGGAUCUGCAUCCGACAGAGCCAUGGAUUUUGUCGAGUCUUUACUCGGGGAGUGUCUGCAUCUGGAACUACCAAACGCAGACAAUGGUGAAAUCAUUUGAAGUCACAGAGUUACCAGUUCGUUCGGCUAAAUUUAUUGCACGGAAGCAAUGGGUUGUUGCUGGUGCCGAUGAUAUGUUUAUCCGUGUGUACAAUUACAAUACAAUGGAUAAGGUCAAGGUAUUUGAAGCUCAUACUGAUUACAUCAGGUGUGUGGCUGUUCAUCCAACCCAGCCUUUUGUGCUGUCAUCAUCCGAUGACAUGUUAAUUAAGCUUUGGGAUUGGGAUAAGGGUUGGGUGUGCACUCACAUAUUUGAGGGGCAUUCUCACUAUGUGAUGCAAGUCACAUUUAACCCAAAGGAUACCAAUACUUUUGCUAGUGCUUCCCUUGAUCGCACGAUAAAGAUAUGGAGUAUUGGUUCUCCUGAUCCUAACUUCACAUUAGAUGGCCACUCAAAAGGCGUGAACUGUGUUGAUUACUUCACCGGUGGUGAUCGACCAUUUUUAAUUACUGGAUCUGAUGAUCAGACUGCAAAGGUUUGGGAUUACCAAACCAAGAGCUGUGUUCAAACACUUGAAGGACAUGCACACAAUGUGUCCGCUGUCUGUUUCCAUCCAGAACUACCUAUUAUAAUUACUGGCUCAGAGGAUGGCACAGUUCGCUUGUGGCACUCUACAACCUACAGGCUUGAGAACACUCUUAAUUAUGGUCUUGAGCGAGUUUGGGCUUUAGGAUACAUGAAGGGGUCAAGAAGGAUUGUGAUUGGAUAUGAUGAAGGGACAAUUAUGAUAAAAAUUGGCCGUGAAGUUCCGGUUGCUAGCAUGGACAACAGUGGAAAAAUCAUAUGGGCGAAACAUAACGAAAUCCAAACUGUUAAUAUCAAGACUGUUGGUGCAGGCAAUGAGAUUGCGGAUGGUGAGCGAUUACCGUUGGCUGUGAAGGAGCUGGGAAGCUGUGAUCUUUAUCCACAAAACUUAAGGCACAAUCCCAACGGGAGAUUUGUUGUUGUAUGUGGAGAUGGAGAAUACAUAAUUUAUACAGCACUAGCAUGGAGAAAUAGAUCAUUUGGGUCUGCACUUGAAUUCGCUUGGUCAUCUGAUGGCGAAUACGCUGUAAGGGAAAGCACCUCAAGGAUAAAGAUAUACAGUAAAAAUUUCCAGGAGAGGAAAAGUAUAAGACCAACAUUCUCCGUCGAACGUGUGUUUGGUGGAGUAUUAUUGGCUAUGUGUACAAAUGAUUUCAUCUGCUUUUACGACUGGGCGGAUUGCAGGUUGAUACGUCGAAUUGAUGUCAACGUGAAGAAUCUCUACUGGGCUGACAGUGGUGAUUUGGUGACAGUUGCAAGUGAUACAUCAUUCUACAUUUUGAAGUACAAUAGGGAUGUUGUAUCUUCUCAUUUGGACGGAGGGGGUUCAGUUGGUGAGGAAGGUGUGGAAGAUGCCUUUGAACUGCUUCAUGAGAUCAAUGAACGCAUCCGAACUGGGCUAUGGGUUGGCGAUUGUUUUAUCUACAAUAAUUCUUCAUCACGGCUUAAUUACUGUGUAGGAGGAGAGGUCACAACCUUAUUUCACUUGGACCGGCCAAUGUAUUUACUAGGAUAUCUUGCUAACCAGAGCCGUGUCUAUCUUAUUGACAAGCAAUUUAAUGUUGUUGGGUACACUCUACUCCUUAGUUUGAUCGAGUAUAAAACACUAGUGCUGCGUGGGGAUUUUGAUCGUGCAAAUGAUAUUUUGCCAUCUAUACCGAAGGAACAAUAUGACAGUGUGGCACAUUUCUUGGAAUCACGGGGCAUGUUGGAGGAAGCCCUUGAGAUAGCAACGGACUCUAAUUACAGAUUUGACCUGGCUGUUCAGCUUGGCCGCGUUGAUGAUGCAAAGGCAAUUGCUCUUGAGGUGCAAAGUGAGUCCAAGUGGAAGCAGUUAGGGGAGUUAGCUAUCUCAACUGGAAAGCUCGAGAUGGCAGAGGAGUGCCUUCUACAUGCACUAGAUCUCAGCGGUCUAUUGCUUUUGUAUUCAUCCAUUGGGGAUGCUGAUGGGAUAACAAAAUUGGCAUCUAUGGCUAGAGAACAAGGAAAGAACAAUGUUGCGUUCCUUUGUUUGUUCAUGCUAGGCAAGUUGGAGGAAUGCCUUCAAUUGUUGAUUGAAAGCAAUCGCAUUCCGGAAGCAGCAUUGAUGGCGAGAUCUUAUCUUCCAAGCAAAGUCCCUGAGAUUGUAGCAUUAUGGAAAAAAGAUCUCCAAAAGGUAAACUCAAAAGCAGCAGAGUCAUUGGCAGAUCCUGAUGAGUACCCAAACUUAUUUGAAGACUGGCAGAUUGCUCUCAAUGUAGAAGCUACUGUCGCCCCCAAAAGGGGUAUCUAUCCACCUGCUGAGGAAUACAUGAUUCAUUCUGAAAGGCCCAAUGAGAGUCUUGUGGAAGCUUUCAAGAACAUGCAUGUACAAGAAGAGGAGGACGUACAUGAAGAGGAUGUACACGAUGAAGAGGAGCUAACAAAUGAAAAUGACACUGUUCAAGAGGUUUUUGAAGAUGACGGAGCAGAAGAGAGCCAAGAAGAUGCUGUUGAGGUCGAGGCUGAUGGUUCUACUGAUGGCACUAUCCAUGUGAAUGGAAAUGAUAGUGAGGAACAGUGGGGUACGAACAAAGAAGAACCAUCAGCAUAA